Molecule: ribosomal RNA, 301 nt
Filed under: uncultured bacterium
Lineage: Bacteria
Description: partial 16S ribosomal RNA
Rfam family: Bacterial small subunit ribosomal RNA
Source: RNAcentral
CAGCAGCCGCGGUAAUACAGAGGGUGCAAGCGUUAAUCGGAAUUACUGGGCGUAAAGCGUGCGCAGGCGGUUAUAUAAGACAGAUGUGAAAUCCCCGGGCUCAACCUGGGAACUGCAUUUGUGACUGUAUAGCUAGAGUACGGCAGAGGGGGAUGGAAUUCCGCGUGUAGCAGUUAAAUGCGUAGAUAUGCGGAGGAACACCGAUGGCGAAGGCAAUCCCCUGGGCCUGUACUGACGCUCAUGCACGAAAGCGUGGGGAGCAAACAGGAUUAGAUACCCCCGUAGUCCCUGUCUCUUAUAC